Non-coding RNA from Aegilops tauschii subsp. strangulata, 2070 nucleotides. The record is from RefSeq and is a predicted model, not a curated record. NCBI's taxonomy places the organism in Eukaryota, Viridiplantae, Streptophyta, Magnoliopsida, Poales, Poaceae.
AUACAAAGAGAUCCGGGCGAUGCGGGAUCAGAUCCAGCCGACGCCGGAAUUGCUCGAUCGAGCCGGCGCUGGCGAUCGGUAUGAUCGGUUGCACGGCGCGGAGGGACGGUGUGUGUUGGCUCGAUCCCUAAUCGUCGACUGAAGUUCUAUCGCCAAAGAUUGAUUGAUAGGUUAAUUGGCCAUUAAUAGCAAUCGAUGGAGUUGAAUUGUCAGUUGCUAUGUUGUGCGCGAUUGGAAUUCAUCUGCCGUCGUUAACGCAAGGAGUAGACCAGCCGUUACUACAGGCCAUUAAUGGAGUGGGUUGGAGGUGCGACGGGGGCCGAUGGUGGAGGUCAGUUACAACUUGGCUGCUCCGCCUACAUAUGCUCUGUGCAGUCACCCAGGCACUGCAGUCCAAGCCCUUGACUGAUUAUGGGUUCUUUGGCUCCAGAAUUCUUCGGCCGAGGAUCCCAAUGGCUGCUGGCCGGGUUAGUUCACAUGAAGUGACAUAUCCAAUCUCCAAUAUCCAAGUAUUUUUUCAUAUGAUUUGCUUUGUUCAAAUGAUGAUGUGGUCGUAAUGAUACAUGUCAUGCUGCUGCCGGCUAUUAUUGUUGUUGUAUAUGCAUCAGAUUAUUUUGGACCGUAGAUCCAUAUGGGCAAACAUAAGGAAAUUAUGUGGCUGUUCCAACACACUCUUAGUUCGUUUUCUAUCUGAUCAAAUGGCACAUUUAUUGCUUGUACAGAUCCUACAAUGGAAAAAUGGUUGCUGGAUGUCUCCAGCUUCUAUAGUAUGCUUGGUUAACGGCCUUUUGGAGCAAUUUGGAUAAUUUGCAGCAGAUCUGAAUUCAAUAUGAUGGGAUAUGGAUCAUGGGAACAGAGGACCUCCAUUGGGGAUGUUUGGUUCCUAGGAGCGGACAAUUCCAGAUUCGACUCCACAAUUGGUACCACCAUUUUGUGUUCUUAUGACUUGAGGAAGAUAGGGAGCAAUGAGUUUGGUCUUCUUAACUCACUUGCAAGUUUCUUGACCAAAACCUUAGUUGUCGACAAACUAAUCAUUGCCGUCGUAGGAAUUCCUUGAUUAAAUAACCUUUUUAGCUAUGAUUAAAUAACCUUUUUUGGACAAUAUCAAACAUAUCAUCUUGCGGGAAGCUACAUGGCACGUGCGUAUAACUUUCGAAGGGAAUUUUUUUUUGCCACUCUAGAUUUUGCCAAUUUUCCUUAUGCCCCGCUGCUUCAUGUCAACGAUGACUUGUAAGGCACUAUGAAUGCGCUGGUACAUAUUGAGUUUACUAGAUGAUGCCCCGCGCGUUGCUGCGGAAUUGGUUGCAAUAUAUUUCGGUGAAAUUUGAUUGUGUGGAAUAUAUAAAUUUUUAGAUUAACAACACAUGAACCAAAAUUUAAAAUACAUACGACUUAUUAUAUUUUAUAAAAUAUUUAUUGAAUAUAAGUUGACAAUAGAAUGAUAAUUAUUUUCACAUGCAUGGUUGCAUGUGGUGGUGGGUCUUGAUCAUGCAUGGUUGCAUGUUAAGGUGGGUUUUAUCCCAUCUAUAAUUGUAUGGUGAUGUGGCAUGCUUGCAUGUUAAGAUAAAUAGGUUAGUGGGGAUCAAUCUCUUAGGUAUAUAGGAUUAGUUCACCCUCUGUAGUGUCACUACGUUUUUGUACCAGCUUGUGGCAAAUAUUAUGUACUUUCAAUAUAGAAGACAUGAAAUUAUAGCAAUGUCAGUGUAUCAAACAUUUUCCGUUUCUUUCCGGUAUCAGUAUGUAUCGAAACAACAACAUUCAUAUUAUAUUAUACAGUUUGACUAAUUCACAUCUAAAUAUUUUUUAAGAAUUGUCACAUCUAAGCUCCCACAAAUAUAUAAUGCGGCAACAAGAAACAAAAAAAACUAGGACACAAAAAUAGACCACAAACAGAGUGGACAUGAGUAUGUCACAUCUAGAUGUGUUCUAGACAGAUCCUAUUUUAUAUUGAACAAAUAAACGGAUACAACAAACACAACAAAUGGAUAAUUGUUCAUGCCAAUUUAAAAAUAAAGUAAACACUCUAUAUAGUUGUACCAACAGCUAACAUUACAUUAUCAAAAUGGACGG